CUGAGGAGGAAAUAUAGGACAACAGGAGGAGGAGGAGGAGGGAGCACUGCGUGGAGCCGUAAAGAGGAAACAGAGCUGCAGCAGACUGAGCUGCACCAUCUGCAUCUCUUCACCAGUCAUCUCUGAGCUCCAGCAGGAUGAAGGGGCUGCAGCUGCUCGGCCUUCCCGGAGCGUGAGGACCCUCACAGGGCCGCGUCUGCCUCGUCCUCACCCGCACCUUACCCCUCUGUGUGUAGCUGUGAUCCUCCAUCUCUCUGCAGCAGCAGCGCGGCCUCUCUGCUCCAUCAGCUGAAACAUGGACGGACUCCGCCUGCCCCCCCUCAUAGAGGAGGUCCUCGACUCCUCCGACGAGCUGUGUGAGCUGAAGGAGGACAAACCCACCUAACUUG
This is a non-coding RNA of Labrus bergylta (ballan wrasse), 389 nucleotides long. The record is from RefSeq and is a predicted model, not a curated record. NCBI's taxonomy places the organism in Eukaryota, Metazoa, Chordata, Actinopteri, Labriformes, Labridae.